RNAcentral lists this ribosomal RNA (459 nucleotides) under uncultured bacterium. RNAcentral describes it as "partial 16S ribosomal RNA". It matches the Rfam family "Bacterial small subunit ribosomal RNA", at positions 338 to 795 of the family's 1533-position model. The record is from RNAcentral.
CCUACGGGUGGCAGCAGUGAGGAAUAUUGGUCAAUGGCCGCAGGGCUGAACCAGCCAAGUCGCGUGAGGGAUGACGGUCCUCUGGAUUGUAAACCUCUUUUGUCAGGGAGCAAAGGGCGCCACGUGUGGCGCUUUGCGAGUACCUGAAGAAAAAGCAUCGGCUAACUCCGUGCCAGCAGCCGCGGUAAUACGGAGGAUGCGAGCGUUAUCCGGAUUUAUUGGGUUUAAAGGGUGCGCAGGCGGAAUGUAAAGUCAGCGGUAAAAUUUCGGGGCUCAACCCCGUCGUGCCGUUGAAACUGGCGUUGUUGAGUGAGCGAGAGGUAUGCGGAAUGCGUGGUGUAGCGGUGAAAUGCAUAGAUAUCACGCAGAACUCCGAUUGCGAAGGCAGCAUACCGGCGCUCAACUGACGCUCAUGCACGAAAGCGUGGGUAGCGAACAGGAUUAGAUACCCUUGUAGUC